Molecule: ribosomal RNA, 281 nt
Filed under: uncultured bacterium
Lineage: Bacteria
Description: partial 16S ribosomal RNA
Rfam family: Bacterial small subunit ribosomal RNA
Source: RNAcentral
GUGCCAGCCGCCGCGGUAAUACAUAGGGGGCGAGCGUUGUCCGGAUUUAUUGGGCGUAAAGAGCUCGUAGGCGGUUCAACAAGUCGGUCGUGAAAGUUCAGGGCUCAACCCUGAAAUGUCGAUCGAUACUGUUGUGACUAGGAUACGGUAGAGGUGAGUGGAAUUCCGAGUGUAGCGGUGAAAUGCGUAGAUAUUCGGAGGAACACCAGUGGCGAAGGCGGCUCACUGGUUCGAUACUGACGCUGAGGUACGAAAGUGUGGGGAGCAAACAGGAUUAGAUA